This is a long non-coding RNA of Papaver somniferum (opium poppy), 1824 nucleotides long. RefSeq lists it as uncharacterized. Lineage: Eukaryota; Viridiplantae; Streptophyta; Magnoliopsida; Ranunculales; Papaveraceae. The record is from RefSeq and is a predicted model, not a curated record. The transcript has 2 exons.
UUUCUCUAUUUUCUUUCUCUUUCUUUUUCUUUCUUCUUUCUUCAUCUUCUUCUCCAUGUGCUCGUUCCUGCUGGUGAUUUGAGAGACGAGAGAGAUAUUAUGAGAUCGAGGUUAGAAGAGUCUGAUCAAGAAUAAACUGAUGGUGGUUGUGUUGUUGUGAUUAAACUUAAGAGGAAGUUGAUUCGAGAAAUCAGUGAGUUAGGGUUUCUGGAUUUGAAGUUAGAUUUGUAUAUAGCUGAUGAUAAUGAAUUUGUGUUGUUGUUGGAUGAAGAGUAACUGGGUCAUUGUUUAAUUCAUGUUAUGGAAUAGUUUUGAGAAGAAAUUGCAGAGCUGGGGUUUCUGAUAUGAAAUCGAAGAUUAGGUUUCAUGAAACAAAUUGAUGUUGAUGAAAUCAAGAAGUUAGAAGAUGGGUUUGUUCUUAAUUGACGAUUGUUUGAAGCUGUAAUGUUGUUUGAGGAUUAAAUCAAGAAGCUAGGGUUUGAGUUGGGUUUCAUGCAUGGAAGAAUUGAGCUGUAGAUUGAUAAUGAGAAGAUGAAAUUAAUGUUUUGAUAAGGAUAUUUGAGAUGGGUUUUAAUAGUUUGAGUGGAUUAGGGUUCGGAUGAAGAGUAAUUAGGAAUUGAAGAAGUCGAGGUUUUGAAGUUGAGAUCGAUUGAAGCUCAUGUUUGGAUUUGUUGAAGAACUAGGGUUCGAUUCUCGUAUCAAGAAGGUGAUUAAGUUACUAUUGGUGCUGGUUCAGUGAACCUAUUAUGAGGUAAUUGAUUUCUCAAUAACUUAGUACAGUUAUUAUGUUCUGUUUUGAGUUUAUGGGUUUGUUAAUUGAACUAAGAGUUGAGAUGGAUGUAUGUGUGUUGAAUGGACCUGAGGCUUUGAGAAUGUUUCGUGGUGUUGCUUUGACUGUGUUUGUGUAGCUAGUAAUGUGAUUGAGAUACAAUGUAGGAUUGAACCAAGUGGAAUUAGAUAAUGGAACUGAAAUUGCAGAUAGUGUUGGCUGGAGAUAAUGUAUUUGGCAGGGAAGAAGAUUUAGUGUUUCAAAUGAAGAACAUAUAUGUGAUGCUGGAGUCAUUACACUUAAGUGGAGCUGUUAGUGUUGAGAUUCACAGAUGUAAGGGUCAUUGUGGUUGCAGUGGCAGUUCAAUUGUGUUGGUGGUUUGAGAUGAUGUUUUCUGUGUAACUGAAGAUGUAGGGUAUUGUGAUUUGGUCCGGAGGUGAACUGUAAUGGGUGCAGAUGAGAAAUGUGUUGGAUAUGUGUGUAUUGAGUUGAUGAUGCUAAAACUGAACUCGGUGGUAAUGUUGUGAUGAUGUUAAGUUGGUUAUGGUAUCUAUGAAGCUGUAAUUUUGACUGACUUAGUAGUCUUGGUUCUGGGAGAGGCCGAAUCUAGUUGAACUGAUGAGACAUUGCUGGUUGAGUUACAAUUGUUCAGUGGUACUGUUGUUGGUGAUUAUAGAGUAGCAGGUGAUGAUAUGAACUGAGCUUGAGUAAGGCUGUGAGAGUUUGUAAUUGAGUCAUUCAACUGAAGUUUGGUGAAUUCAGAGUGGUGGAUUGUAUUUGCUGUGAAAGCUUGUUACUGCUUUUGCAGUUAAACUAUAUUAACAACGAUCGAUUCAAAGGACGAACCAGUGGAUCUCGAGGUAGGCGUGGCUUGUCAUCAAAAGAGGCGGGAAUACAUUUGACUCUCUUGUAACCAUUGAUGUUUUUUUUAUAAAGAUUUAUGUUUAUCAAAUUCAUACAUUAUCUAGUUAUGCAUUCCAUGUUGAUUAUGUUAAUCUCCGUGGUUUGGAAAGGACUUGUAAUGUUUUGUUGUCAAUAUGAAUUGUUAUGGGAAA